This 460-nucleotide ribosomal RNA is filed under the name uncultured bacterium. Its description in RNAcentral is "partial 16S ribosomal RNA". It matches the Rfam family "Bacterial small subunit ribosomal RNA", at positions 338 to 795 of the family's 1533-position model. The record is from RNAcentral.
CCUACGGGAGGCAGCAGUGAGGAAUAUUGGUCAAUGGACGCAAGUCUGAACCAGCCAUGCCGCGUGCAGGAAGACGGCUCUAUGAGUUGAAAACUGCUUUUGUACAAGGGUAAACCUGAAUACGUGUAUUCAGCUGAAAGUACUUUACGAAUAAGGAUCGGCUAACUCCGUGCCAGCCGCCGCGGUAAUACGGAGGAUCCAAGCGUUAUCCGGAUUUAUUGGGUGUAAAGGGUGCGUAGGCGGAUUGAUAAGUUAGAGGUGAAAUGUCCGCGCUUAACUCGGGAACUGCCUCUAAUACUGUUGAUCUAGAGAGUAGAUGCGGUAGGCGGAAUGUAUGGUGUAGCGGUGAAAUGCGUAGAGAUGAUACAGAACACCGAUUGCGAAGGCAGCUUACCAAUCUAUUUCUGACGUUGAGGCACGAAAGCGUGGGGAGCAAACAGGAUUAGAUACCCCUGUAGUC